UUUUUAAUUAAACUUAAUUGAAAAAAGUAACAUUUAAAUAGUAUUAAUAUAAAAUUUAUAAGAAUCGAUAAUAAAUAUACGAGACUAAAAAGUAUAAACGCUUGUUAAUUUUAAAUGAAAAAAUUACUUGUUUAAUUACAACUAGCUUCAAUACGUUAGAAUUAACUGCUCAAGAACAACUGAAAACGUCGUAAAACAUCGUUCACAAUGUCACUGUUCAGCGUCUCCGUUUCACACAAUUUCACUCCCAGAUUUCUUGAAGUAAAACUUCUUUACGCACGCUUGACUUCCGAGCGUUACGAAAAGUGUGAUCGGGCGAGGCGAACAAGCAAAAGAGAAAGGUGCGAGCACAUAUCCUCUUUCUUUCAUAGCCAGUUAAGCUUCAGGCGUACCGGGCCUAUAUUGUGCAGAAGUUUUACUUCAGUCGUGUAGUCUAAAGCACACUCGUUUUUUUUU
RNAcentral lists this unclassified non-coding RNA (456 nucleotides) under Melitaea cinxia (Glanville fritillary). RNAcentral describes it as "misc RNA ENSMCXG00005000270.1". Lineage: Eukaryota; Metazoa; Arthropoda; Insecta; Lepidoptera; Nymphalidae. The record is from RNAcentral.